This 492-nucleotide ribosomal RNA is filed under the name uncultured bacterium. RNAcentral's name for it is "partial 16S ribosomal RNA". It matches the Rfam family "Bacterial small subunit ribosomal RNA", at positions 29 to 507 of the family's 1533-position model. The record is from RNAcentral.
AGUGAACGCUGGCGGUAGGCCUAACACAUGCAAGUCGAACGGCAGCACAGUAAGAGCUUGCUCUUACGGGUGGCGAGUGGCGGACGGGUGAGGAAUACAUCGGAAUCUACUUUUUCGUGGGGGAUAACGUAGGGAAACUUACGCUAAUACCGCAUACGACCUACGGGUGAAAGCAGGGGAUCUUCGGACCUUGCGCGAUUGAAUGAGCCGAUGUCGGAUUAGCUAGUUGGCGGGGUAAAGGCCCACCAAGGCGACGAUCCGUAGCUGGUCUGAGAGGAUGAGCAGCCAGAAUGGAAGUGAGACAGGGAACAGACGCAUACGGGAGCCAGCAGUGGGGAUUAGUGGACAAUGGGCGCAAGGUUGAACCAGCCAUACGCCGUGGAUGAAAAAGGCCUUCGGGUGGCAAAGCCCUUUUGUUGGGAAAGAAAGGCAGCAGGUUAGUACCCCGCUGGUCUGAAGGUACCGAAAGAAUAAGCACCGGCUAACUUCGUG